Molecule: transfer RNA, 72 nt
Filed under: Elusimicrobia bacterium CG1_02_37_114
Lineage: Bacteria; Pseudomonadati; Elusimicrobiota
Also listed under: 2 other names
Description: tRNA-Phe
Rfam family: tRNA
About the family: Transfer RNA (tRNA) molecules are approximately 80 nucleotides in length. Their secondary structure includes four short double-helical elements and three loops (D, anti-codon, and T loops). Further hydrogen bonds mediate the characteristic L-shaped molecular structure. tRNAs have two regions of fundamental functional importance: the anti-codon, which is responsible for specific mRNA codon recognition, and the 3' end, to which the tRNAs corresponding amino acid is attached (by aminoacyl-tRNA synthetases). tRNAs cope with the degeneracy of the genetic code in two manners: having more than one tRNA (with a specific anti-codon) for a particular amino acid; and 'wobble' base-pairing, i.e. permitting non-standard base-pairing at the 3rd anti-codon position.
Source: RNAcentral
GCCGGGCUAGCUCAGUGGUAGAGCGCCGGUCUGAAAAACCGGGCGUCCUCAGUUCGAUUCUGGGGCCCGGCA